ACUCCUACGGGAGGCAGCAGUGAGGAAUAUUGGGCAAUGGGCGCAAGCCUGAACCAGCCAUCCCGCGUGAAGGAAGAAGGCGCUAUGCGUUGUAAACUUCUUUUCCAGGGGGUGAAUUUUCCGGUCGUGACCGGGAUUGACGGUACUCUGGGAAUAAGCAUCGGCUAACUCUGUGCCAGCAGCCGCGGUAAU
RNAcentral lists this ribosomal RNA (192 nucleotides) under uncultured bacterium. RNAcentral's name for it is "partial 16S ribosomal RNA". It matches the Rfam family "Bacterial small subunit ribosomal RNA", at positions 335 to 524 of the family's 1533-position model. The record is from RNAcentral.